Molecule: transfer RNA, 72 nt
Filed under: Sphaerodactylus townsendi
Lineage: Eukaryota; Metazoa; Chordata; Lepidosauria; Squamata; Sphaerodactylidae
Description: tRNA-Ala
Rfam family: tRNA
About the family: Transfer RNA (tRNA) molecules are approximately 80 nucleotides in length. Their secondary structure includes four short double-helical elements and three loops (D, anti-codon, and T loops). Further hydrogen bonds mediate the characteristic L-shaped molecular structure. tRNAs have two regions of fundamental functional importance: the anti-codon, which is responsible for specific mRNA codon recognition, and the 3' end, to which the tRNAs corresponding amino acid is attached (by aminoacyl-tRNA synthetases). tRNAs cope with the degeneracy of the genetic code in two manners: having more than one tRNA (with a specific anti-codon) for a particular amino acid; and 'wobble' base-pairing, i.e. permitting non-standard base-pairing at the 3rd anti-codon position.
Source: RNAcentral
GGUGGUUUGGCUCAGUGCUAGAGCAUCUGUUUUGCAUGAGGAUGGUCCCAGAUUCAAACCCUGGCAUCUCUA